UCUGGUCCUCGGUAGUGGCCUUCGGGUGCCUCAGGGCGCCCCCGCGGGCCUCGAUCGAAGACCGGC
Regulatory RNA element from Tessaracoccus lapidicaptus, 66 nucleotides. It matches the Rfam family "Actino-pnp RNA". Lineage: Bacteria; Bacillati; Actinomycetota; Actinomycetes; Propionibacteriales; Propionibacteriaceae. The record is from Rfam.